Molecule: non-coding RNA, 363 nt
Organism: Pelobates cultripes (western spadefoot toad)
Lineage: Eukaryota; Metazoa; Chordata; Amphibia; Anura; Pelobatidae
Source: the annotation of a GenBank genome assembly
GCCGCCUAUUUCUGCUAAAUAUUGGAGUGUUUUUUGACACACAAACUUAUAACAAAGAACUUCUCAUGUGUAUUUUGUAAAGCUGGUGUGUGCUAUUCCUGUACUUUAUUUUGUGUUCAGCUACAUCUGCUAAGUACAACGAUACCCCUAUUGUAUGUAUUUGGCACUAUUUUGUGAAGCUACAGUGCCAUGUAGGAGACCUGUCCAUUUCAGUAUUUACAGUAGAAUUUUGAAAGACGGAUUUGAUGGGCCCAUGUUUCAAUUUAGGGCAUUAUAGCAGUUUGACUGUUAAAACCCCCCCACAAAGGCCUACCAUUUCUUAAAGUAGACACACCAGGGUAUUUAAAAACGCAUAUUUUAAAC